UCUUUCAUUCCUCAGGAAAACGCAUCAAACAACAAGUGUUUUUCUUCCAACAGCACGCGCCAUCGGUGGAGCAAGCAGCCAACGAUUUGAUCGCCAGUACGCGCCAUCAAGAAUUGAUAUUUUGCCAAACAGUACUGUGAAUAAAAAACUGCACACUUACUGUCGGAAUUUCCUGGAAUUUUUUGAUCGGUCUACGCUCGCGGGAAUGGUGGGUUCGUUGAGGAGAAGGAAAGAAAGGGUGGGAGCGAGGAUUAACCAAAAACGCGGCAUUGAGAAUGAGGGGAGGUGCGCUCAGCGCUCACGCUGGGACACUCACGAUGCUUGAAAUAAAAUGUUAACAAGCAUCGAUUUCAAGCAUGCAUGUCGCGCGAUACCCGCUUGGCAAAGAGUAACUCAUUUUGAUGCCUUUCGCUACCCCUGGCCUUAGUUUUAAAGGAAUCAUGCGACACACUCGCACUCCACUACCCCAUCCCAUGGAAAAACGCUCCCACCAUCGAGGUGUUGACCAAAAUUUCGCUAUGUGCAUGAGACACACACUCGCACUCCUCCAGCCCUCCACAGCUGAACGCUCCCACCGUUGCGAAGUUUGCGAGAAUUUUUGCUCUGAGCGUGAGAUCCUGAAGCACCAGAGAUGACACUAUGUGUAAAGACGAUCAUAAUUCGGUAUGGUCAAAAUGCGUCGAUUGUCGUUUCAUUUAUCUGGUAAUGAUGUAUUCACUUCAUCAAAAUUUUAAACGUUCACAACUAGACUGAUAACAAUAUUUGAAUUUUUAAUCAGAAUAAAACCAAUUCAUUUGAAGCAAAAUAAAUUCCAUUAUACUUUAUUUUGACCAUAUGAUCAACACUUGUACAUAGUGCCAUUUACUUUGUGUUCUUCACUCUCGCGCUGUGUUGUGAUCGUUCGAAACUCAUUGCCAGAACGAAUGCAAAUUUCAUAUGGGAAUGAUCGGUGCCGGAAGAGGCAGCGAAAAUUAUGAAAUGAUAAUAGAAAAGUGGUUAAGUUAAUCGUGAAAGAUGUCAACGCAGACGUAAAUGUAGUAUGUUUUGUUACAUGAUCUACGGGUAAGUGCAUGCAUAAGAAGAAGAAUCUUCCAAAUGAUGUUUGUGUUCAAACAAUCGUACUGCUUUCAAUGUUUGUUUAUUUUUCUAUUAUUUUCCAUCACACCUAGCUAUUGCAUUACCAAAGCUCCUGAUAACAGAUCAAAGCAGAUGGAUCGGGCAUACAGAGUCGCCGUUUAAUUUAAAAUAUCUGCGUGAUCGCAAACGCAUCAAACAGCAAGUGUUUUUCCUUCCAACAGCACGCACCAUCGGUGGUGCAGCAGCUAACGUUUUGUUCGCCUAGCGCGCACCAUCAAGAAUUGAUAUUUUGCCAAACAGUACUGUGAAUAAAAAACUGCACACUUACUGUAGGAA
This is a long non-coding RNA of Anopheles coluzzii, 1413 nucleotides long. RefSeq lists it as uncharacterized. The record is from RefSeq and is a predicted model, not a curated record. Lineage: Eukaryota; Metazoa; Arthropoda; Insecta; Diptera; Culicidae. The transcript has 2 exons.